This 497-nucleotide ribosomal RNA is filed under the name uncultured bacterium. RNAcentral describes it as "partial 16S ribosomal RNA". It matches the Rfam family "Bacterial small subunit ribosomal RNA", at positions 28 to 507 of the family's 1533-position model. The record is from RNAcentral.
GAUGAACGCUGGCGGCGUGCCUAAUACAUGCAAGUCGAGCGAACGGACGAGAAGCUUGCUUUUCUGAUGUUAGCGGCGGACGGGUGAGUAACACGUGGAUAACCUACCUAUAAGACUGGGAUAACUUCGGGAAACCGGAGCUAAUACCGGAUAAUAUUUUGAACCGCAUGGUUCAAAAGUGAAAGACGGUCUUGCUGUCACUUAUAGAUGGAUCCGCGCUGCAUUAGCUCGUUGGUAAGGUAACGGCUUACCAAGGCAACGAGGCAUAGCCGACCUGAGAGGGUGAUCGGCCACACUGGAACUGAGACACGGUCCAGACUCCUACGGGAGGCAGCAGUAGCGAAUCUUCCGCAAUGGGCGAAAGCCUGACGGAGCAACGCCGCGUGGGUGAUGAAGGUCUUCGGAUCGUAAUACUCUGUUAUUAGGGAAGAACAUAUGUGUAAGUAACUGUGCACAUCUUGACGGUACCUAAUCAGAAAGCCACGGCUAACUACGUG